CCAGGACUGCAGAAGCAGAGCCAAUAGGCUCUUAGUCCUACAGCAAUAGGGAGGAGGGGCCACCCUUGGCUAAGGAAAGGAGGGCGUCCUUUCAACUAUACCCCUGGAAAUGAAUUCCCAACAUUUCUUGGCCCGACUUCAGCAAAAACUGGGAGGUUCUAACAUGCAUUGAAAAUAGCUACCACAUUCAGCACCACCCUGUAGACUUCAGAGGUAAAAAGAGCAGAGAGAGAAAAACAGCUCAGCACCACACUGUGACUGACUCAGCAAAGGUCUGGUGCUUACUAUGACAUGCAGGACAAAGGACUCAUUGUAGAAUUAAGAUCCAAGUUGUAAAGAAAUAUCCACUAUCUUUAGUAUGAAGAACUACUUUAAGUCAGCAAACAUUGUCGGAAAGAGUGAGAAAGAGAUGUGCUAUGCUGCAAGAAAUCCAUGUAUUUUAACAUAUUUGUUUCCUUUCUAAUUCAUAAAACAGAUGCAUUUGCAAUGUUGGCCAGCUA
Long non-coding RNA from Hemicordylus capensis (graceful crag lizard), 500 nucleotides. RefSeq lists it as uncharacterized. Lineage: Eukaryota; Metazoa; Chordata; Lepidosauria; Squamata; Cordylidae. The record is from RefSeq and is a predicted model, not a curated record. The transcript is spliced from 2 exons.